This is a non-coding RNA of Candidatus Bathyarchaeota archaeon B23, 86 nucleotides long. Lineage: Archaea; Thermoproteati; Candidatus Bathyarchaeota. The record is from Rfam.
GCCGGGGUAGCCAAGCCAGGAUACGGCGCCAGUCUUGAAAACUGGUGCUCCCCGGGAGCACGAGGGUUCAAAUCCCUCCCCCGGCG